UCCUACGGGGGGCAGCAGUGGGGAAUAUUGCACAAUGGGGGAAACCCUGAUGCAGCGACGCCGCGUGAGUGAAGAAGUAUCUCGGUACGUAAAGCUCUAUCAGCAGGGAAGAAAAUGACGGUACCUGACCAAGAAGCCCCGGCUAACUACGUGCCAGCAGCCGCGGUAAUACGUAGGGGGCAAGCGUUAUCCGGAUUCACUGGGUGUAAAGGGAGCGUAGACGGCGACGCAAGUCUGGAGUGAAAGCCCGGGGCCCAACCCCGGGACUGCUCUGGAAACUGCGGCGCUGGAGUACGGGAGGGGCG
This 305-nucleotide ribosomal RNA is filed under the name uncultured bacterium. RNAcentral describes it as "bacterial SSU rRNA". It matches the Rfam family "Bacterial small subunit ribosomal RNA", at positions 337 to 659 of the family's 1533-position model. The record is from RNAcentral.